RNAcentral lists this ribosomal RNA (427 nucleotides) under uncultured bacterium. RNAcentral describes it as "partial 16S ribosomal RNA". It matches the Rfam family "Bacterial small subunit ribosomal RNA", at positions 355 to 774 of the family's 1533-position model. The record is from RNAcentral.
UGGGGAAUAUUGCACAAUGGGCGCAAGCCUGAUGCAGCCAUGCCGCGUGUAUGAAGAAGGCCUUCGGGUUGUAAAGUACUUUCAGCGGGGAGGAAGGCGAUAAGGUUAAUAACCUUGUCGAUUGACGUUACCCGCAGAAGAAGCACCGGCUAACUCCGUGCCAGCAGCCGCGGUAAUACGGAGGGUUCAAGCGUUAAUCGGAAUUACUGGGCGUAAAGCGCACGCAGGCGGUCUGUCAAGUCGGAUGUGAAAUCCCCGGGCUCAACCUGGGAACUGCAUUCGAAACUGGCAGGCUAGAGUCUUGUAGAGGGGGGUAGAAUUCCAGGUGUAGCGGUGAAAUGCGUAGAGAUCUGGAGGAAUACCGGUGGCGAAGGCGGCCCCCUGGACAAAGACUGACGCUCAGGUGCGAAAGCGUGGGGAGCAAACA